RNAcentral lists this ribosomal RNA (410 nucleotides) under Crocothemis sanguinolenta. RNAcentral describes it as "eukaryotic LSU rRNA". The record is from RNAcentral. Lineage: Eukaryota; Metazoa; Arthropoda; Insecta; Odonata; Libellulidae.
GUACGUGAAACCGGUCAGGGGUAAACGGGUGGUUCCCGAAAGUGCGAAAGGGGAGAUUCAGGUCUCGCCGCGCGCCGGGCCGUGCCCGCGACAAGGGAUGGCGUUCUCGCGGCCGUGGGGCGACCCACGGUCCGGGANNNNCCACCCCGUGGGUGCGGUCCCGACGCCGGAGUGACGCACUUCUCCCCCGGUAGAACGUCGCGAUCCGUCGGUCGCCGGCCUAAGGCCCCUGGUGGAGCCGAGCGCCGCCCGACCCAGGGGAUCCCGGCCGGGUGCCCGACGGUACGAAGAGAGGAAGGAGUCGGCGCGCCUAGGCNGUCCGCCCCUCCGCAAGCACCCGCGGGAGUCGGAGGCGGGCCCGGCCCGGCCUCUCUUCAUCGGGGCUGUUUGCGAUGGAGGUGUGCUCGGAC